AUGGAGGAGAAGAGCUCUGGGCACAAGAAGGCAAGGGCGACCAACCCUCCGGCGUCGGCGCAGGAGAUGGCGGCGGCGGCCAGCCCCCUCACGGAUGACCUCAUCGUGGAGAUCCUGUCCCGCCUCCCCGCCAGGUCCGUCCACCGCUUCAAGUGCGUCUCGCCGUCCUGGCGCGCCCUCAUCGCGGACCCGGCCAACCGCAAGAAGCUGCCCCAGACCCUCGCCGGCUUCCUCUACAGCACCUACCACUGGGCAGAUCCUCGCUUCCAAAAGUUUCAUUUGGCCAACGUCUCCGUCGGCGCAGCCCCGCCGGUCGACCUGUCCCUCUCUUUCCUGCCACCCGACAAGUACUUGUACGUCGACCAGCUGGACGCCUGCAAUGGCCUUCUCCUCUGCCUCUGCUACAUGGCCCCUUCUUCUCCUUCAACGGACAAGCGUACGCCGCUUGAAUCUCAUUUCAUCGUGUGCAAUCCGGCCACCAAGAGGUGGGUCGAUCUGCCCCCUCACGCCAAGGUGCCAAAUGGCCAUCGCGGUGUAGCUCGUUUGGGUUUUGAUCCAGCAGUAUCGUCCCAUUUCCAUGUUCUUCAGUUUGAGAAGACCGAUCAGGAGGAUUGCGUCACAGGAGUGAACAUCUACUCUUCGCAAACUGGAGCUUGGAAGCGUAGACAAAGCCGCUUGGUUGAGAAAAUUACCCUGUACGCUGGCCUUGCAAGUGUCUUCUUUCACGGUAUGCUGCACUUGCUUGGUAUGCUGAAACCCAUGAAGUUGGACGACGAUGCUGUGCUGGUAGCAGUGGACAUGGAGGGGCAGGUGUGGAAGGCUAUCCGUGUGCCGUCAGGUGGUUUGAGUUUUGGUACGAUUGGAUUGUCACAGGGGUGCUUGCACUAUGCUACCACACCCCUAGGUAUUGUUGACAAGAACAAGAAGGAGGAUACAUCCCUAGCUACCAAGAUAGCAUCAGUCUGGUGCAUGGAAGAUUAUGAUAGUAAAGAAUGGGUCUUGAAGCAUAGUGUCAGCAAUGAUGAGUUAGGAAGCAAAACUAGGGCGGAGUACAAGGUGACUGCUAUUCAUCCAGACCGUGACACUAUUUUCCUGGAUUCAUGUGAUGUUGAUACAUUGGCAUCUUAUGAUAUGCAACAUCGGGAAUUCUGUCGUAUCCUUAAUCUUAAGAAAGACAGAGCACCACUGUUUGUACCCUAUGUUCCACUAUUCUCAGACUCAUUAGCAGGUGCAGAUGGUCAGUAG
This 1245-nucleotide ribosomal RNA is filed under the name Triticum aestivum (bread wheat). RNAcentral describes it as "partial small subunit ribosomal RNA". Lineage: Eukaryota; Viridiplantae; Streptophyta; Magnoliopsida; Poales; Poaceae. The record is from RNAcentral.